RNAcentral lists this ribosomal RNA (240 nucleotides) under uncultured bacterium. Its description in RNAcentral is "partial 16S ribosomal RNA". It matches the Rfam family "Bacterial small subunit ribosomal RNA", at positions 92 to 334 of the family's 1533-position model. The record is from RNAcentral.
CGACCGGCGCACGGGUGAGUAACGCGUAUCCAACCUGCCCACCACUGGGAUAACCUUGCGAAAGUAAGACUAAUACCCAAUGAUAUCUCUAGAAGACAUCUGAAAGAGAUUAAAGAUUUAUCGGUGAUGGAUGGGGAUGCGUCUGAUUAGCUUGUUGGCGGGGUAACGGCCCACCAAGGCGACGAUCAGUAGGGGUUCUGAGAGGAAGGUCCCCCACAUUGGAACUGAGACACGGUCCAA